AAAGCUAUCUGAUAAAGAUUGCAGUUCGGUACAGUUUUCAGUGACCAAACGGGGUCGAAACUGAACCAGUGAUCGUCAGCUUGUUAAGUUAAGUAAAACCGAACAUGACUGUCAAGUUUGAGCUCAAACGGACACUCAGGGAGCUCCGUCGAAAGUUAUCAGAUUUCAAGCUGCCCGGAAGUGAAUAGUGUCGGGUGUAUUAUAAAGAAGCUGAAGCUUCUUUCUUCCUCUCCUUCAGCCCGAGCACCCACACACGCACGCAUGGUGCUAGUGAGAGAAACCUUCAUUCCUCUCUCUAGAUUUCUCUCUUAUCUCUCCAAAUCUCUCUCUAAUAAUUUGAGGGUUGGUGGAAAGCGAGCUUGCGAACGCAUUGGAGGCGUCGGUUCGGGCUUUCGUGCGGCCGUUGCAACGGUGUGUUUUCGUAGCGGCAUUCACAUUGAGGUAAGCUUUUAGGAUUUGGCUUAAUCCUUAGUUCUAAGUGUUCUAAUAGCCUCUAAUGAGCAUUCUAAACAUGUUUGCUCCAUUUAAUUUAGAUUAUUUGGAGAUUAAUUCAUGUUAGGCUUAGAAAAUGGGGUUUUGUAAAAUAUGAGCGUUUGAUCUCAUUUGACCCUCUGUAAACCAAAUUGCUAGGUAAACGAAUGCGUUGGCGAAGACGGUUCGGCAAUCCGACGAGCCGUUACAAAGUUAUUAAAGAAAUGGACGUUUAGGCUUCGGGUCCGCCGGGAGGGCCGAGGCGACGUCGUAAAAUCAUGGAAAUGGAUUUGAGGCAUCGUGGCACAUAACCGAAGACCUAUAAUUUUCGGGGCUACGAAGCGGAGCACAGUUGAGGCGCAGUUGCAGUAUCGGGCCGUGCCGGAUACGGGUGCCGCGGGAGGCCGAUUGCAAGUGUCGACAAGCAAUCGGAACGCAAAUUAAGGUGGGUUGGUUUACCGAAGCGACUAGGUCGCCUUUAUGUCUAAGAAAAUAUGAUUUCUUAUGAUGCAUAUAGAAAUGAAUGAUAAUGAAUGCAAGCUGAUAAAUGCAUGUUGAUAAAUGCUAGAGAGCAUGCGAAAUAAAGUAUAAAUGCUAAGUUGAUGCAUGUAAAUGAUAUAGAGAUUAUAAAAUGCAUGUUGGUAAAUAAUAUAAAUGAUGCAUGUUAACGAUAGUGCUUAGAGCAAGAUGCUAAGUAGAAAGCAUGAUGUUGAUAACAUGAUACAAACGCCAAGUAGAAUGCAUGAGAUAAGAAUGCUAGAGUAUAAUGAUAAGCAUGAUAUGGAAAUAGUAAAUACAAGUACAUGUUAAGAAUGCUAAGUAAUGCAUAGUGACAUAGUGUAAAUCAUGCUAAGUGACAAGCAUAAAGUAUAUAAUACGUGGUGGCCGUGUUGCAUGCAUAGAAAGGUUAAUGUAAGAAUGCUAAAGAUAAUGUAUGAAUGCAUGUUGCAUGUUAAAGAAUGCCCAGUAAAGGACUUGUGUAUAUGGACUUAAGUGCACCUAUAGAUCGAGUAGCAUUGAAUCUAGUGUCGAGGACAUAGGUUAAACAGAUGUGAUUUGAACCUAAUGUAAAGAACAUAGGUUAAAUAAGAAUGAUGUUAAACCUAAUGUAGAGAACACAGGUCGUGAAAUGAAAGGUGCUUAACCUAGAGUCAAGUGAACCUAGGUUGGAAAGAAUGAUGAUCCUAGUGUAAUAAACCUAGGUUAAGAAUGUGAAAGCAAUAAACCUAAAGUAUUAACUUAGGUUGUGUAAUGGACAAAGAACCUAGAGUCAAGUAGACCUAGGAUGUAAAGGACAAUGGACCUAAGUAGGUCGAUACCAUAGGGUUGUGACUAACCCUCGAGUUACGUGAAAUGGAUUCCGGAAUCCCAAAGCUUGUUGAUAUACCUAGAGUGGUAUCGGGUGUGUGCGACGAUUUCGCCGCCCAAGGGCUAAAGAACCAUUGUCGUGGCGUGUGCGACGAUUUCGCCGCCGGAUGGUUAGCCAGUUUGUGGAUCCUACCACCUGUUGACUGAACCACUGUCGUGGCGUUUGUGCGACGAUUUCGCCGCCGGGUGGCUAAGUCAUGGACCUAGGCCGUUGUUGGGUGAGGUGCGAUUCGUUCGCCGCCAGACGGCUAGGACAGGAGUACGGUGAGCUGUUGCCAGCUGAGGUGCAUGUGAGAGUUCCUUCACCUCGAGCUAGACAGUGCGCGGACUAUCCGCGAUUGAUUGACUCAAGACCGAGUCGGGUGGCAUAGAGAACUAAGGUAAGGGAAACCUUAGGAAAGAAUGGCCAGUGGAAAAGUGCAACAAAGUGUAGAGAAUAAAGAAUAAGUAAAGAAUAAAGAUCGGCUAAGGAAUAAGAAUAGCUGAUAAAGUAAAGAAAGGUUACAAGUAAAGAAUAGCUAAGAGCUAAAAGUAAACAUUAAACGACAAGAGUAAAGAAUGAUUAAGAAUAUAAUUAGCGUUAAAGUAACCUACUUGCAUGAUUACGGGUAUUGCAUAUUGCAUUUCGUGAGGCAUGG
RNAcentral lists this long non-coding RNA (2477 nucleotides) under Ananas comosus (pineapple). RNAcentral describes it as "long non-coding RNA (ACOM_LNC039117)". The record is from RNAcentral. Lineage: Eukaryota; Viridiplantae; Streptophyta; Magnoliopsida; Poales; Bromeliaceae.